This is a long non-coding RNA of Melanotaenia boesemani (Boeseman's rainbowfish), 240 nucleotides long. RefSeq lists it as uncharacterized. The record is from RefSeq and is a predicted model, not a curated record. The transcript has 3 exons. NCBI's taxonomy places the organism in Eukaryota, Metazoa, Chordata, Actinopteri, Atheriniformes, Melanotaeniidae.
GGUUCAGUUACACUCGGGGUUUAAGGGUAAACUCUCGCGAGAUUUCCCGCGAGACUUGGCGCGAGACUUUGAUGACGCCUUCGCCUCGGUGUUAUAAACAUGGCAGUGUGUUAGCAGUGUAAGAGCAGACGUGGGAUGACGUAGAUCACUGCAGGUGUAGAUGUAUGCACCAUAUCUGACACCCUCCCACGGUACAUGGCCACUACGAACCGGGGAUUGGCCGGGUUCCUAGAUCGGGUU